RNAcentral lists this ribosomal RNA (611 nucleotides) under Limnebius maurus. RNAcentral's name for it is "partial 16S ribosomal RNA". The stretch from base 375 to 533 matches the Rfam family "Bacterial large subunit ribosomal RNA", at positions 2473 to 2632 of the family's 2925-position model. RNAcentral also lists the same sequence under 2 other names. Lineage: Eukaryota; Metazoa; Arthropoda; Insecta; Coleoptera; Hydraenidae. The record is from RNAcentral.
GUCUUUUAGAUUAUAAUUUAAAGUCUGGCCUGCCCUAUGAAAAAUUAAAUGGCCGCAGUAUUUUGACUGUGCAAAGGUAGCAUAAUAAUUAGUUUUUUAAUUGAAAGCUGGAAUGAAAGGUUGAACGAAAAAAUAUCUGUCUCAAUUUAAUUUAAUUAGAAUUUUAUUUUUUAGUAAAAAAGCUAAAAUAAUUUUUAAAGACGAGAAGACCCUAUAGAGUUUUAUAUUUUAAUAUUAUAUAUUUUAUAGAAUUAUUUUAUGAUUUUAAAUAUUUUAUUGGGGUGAUAAAUAAAUUUAAAUAACUUUAUUAAUUUCUUACAUUAAUAUAUGAUUAAUUGAUCCAUAAAAAUGAUUAAAGAUUAAAUUACCUUAGGGAUAACAGCGUUAUUUUUUUUUAGAGUUCUUAUCGAAAAAAAAGAUUGCGACCUCGAUGUUGGAUUAAAAUUUAUUUAUGGUGUAGAAGCUAUAAUAUUAGGUCUGUUCGACCUUUAAAAUUUUACAUGAUCUGAGUUUAAACCGGUGUGAGCCAGGUUGGUUUCUAUCUUAAAAUAAGUAAAAUAUUUUAGUACGAAAGGACCAAAUAUUUAUAAAAUUUAUUAAAUUUUGAAUAC